Molecule: long non-coding RNA, 715 nt
Organism: Manis pentadactyla (Chinese pangolin)
Lineage: Eukaryota; Metazoa; Chordata; Mammalia; Pholidota; Manidae
Exons: 3
Source: RefSeq, a predicted model, not a curated record
CUGGACCAGAAGUAAUCGGAGGCUUCUAAAGAGAGUGAAAGAGAGAAAGAAGAGGGGAGAACAGAUGUGAGGAGGAUUACGAAGGGAGAGUCAUCAGGAUUUACUUAUGGGAACACAGACCUUCUGCAGGCCACAGAAGGGGAGAAGAAGAGCAGACACAUCUUCCUGCCUGUACAUCUGUGCAGGACUUUGCCUCAGAUGGGCUGCUGGUGCGUGAUUCCAGGGAGUCAUCCCAUUCCUGUGCAGAUCCACUGGACAUGCAAAGAAGCCAUAGAAUACAACCUAUAACAAGGGGGAAAACCCAGUAAACAGAGACAGACCCAUAAAUGACAGGGGAUGAAAUUAGUAGACAAGGAUUUUAAAAUAGCUGACACAAACAUGCUCAAUGAUUUAAUGGGAAAUGAGUAGCAUGAGAGAAAUGGAAGCUAUAAUAAAGAACAAAAUGGAAAUAUGUGGAGUUGAAAAAUAUAAUACCUGAAGUGAAAUGGUUAUGAUUUCAUGUGAUUAAUAGCACAUUACACAUAAGUUUAAAGGGUUGAUUAACUUAAAAAUAUACCAAUACAAACUUUCCAAACUAAAGAACAGAGAGGAUUAAAGUCUGGGGGAAAAAAAUUGAUCCAAGUCUUAGUGAUCUGUCAGAUGAUAUGAAGCUAUUUAACAUACUGAGUCCCAGAAGGGAAGGCAGAAAAUCACUGAAGAAAUAAUGGCCAAAUGU